AACGAACGCUGGCGGCAUGCCUAACACAUGCAAGUCGAACGAGACCUUCGUGUCUAGUUGCGCUCGCGGGCGUAACGCGGGGGAACCUGCCCGUAGGUUCCGAAUAACUCCCCUUAGGGGGGGCUAAUGCCGGGUAAUUUAUUCGGACCAAAGAUUUAUCGCCUUUGGAUGGGCGCGGGUUGGAUUAGCUAGUUGGUAGGGUAAAAGCCUAUCAAGGCGAGGAUCCAUAGCUGGUCUGAGAGGAUGAUCAGCCACACUGGGAAGCAGACACGGCCCAGACUCUUACGGGAGGCAGGCGUGGGUAAUACUGGACAAUGGGGGAAAGCAUGAUCGCGCAAUGGCGGGUGAGUCAUGAAGGUGUUAGGGUUGUACAGCUGUUUUACACGGGACGAUAAUGACAGUACCGGGAGAAUAAGCUCCGGCUAACUUCGUG
Molecule: ribosomal RNA, 433 nt
Filed under: uncultured bacterium
Lineage: Bacteria
Description: partial 16S ribosomal RNA
Rfam family: Bacterial small subunit ribosomal RNA
Source: RNAcentral